CACUGGUUGCAGUUGAUGGGUAUAGGUCUAGUAACACAGUUUUAAUAUUCUGUGACUAGAUCUACACUCAUUGAUUGCUUCCAGUU
This is a non-coding RNA of Manduca sexta (tobacco hornworm), 86 nucleotides long. Lineage: Eukaryota; Metazoa; Arthropoda; Insecta; Lepidoptera; Sphingidae. The record is from Rfam.